This 519-nucleotide ribosomal RNA is filed under the name uncultured eukaryote. RNAcentral describes it as "SSU rRNA". It matches the Rfam family "Eukaryotic small subunit ribosomal RNA", at positions 1161 to 1702 of the family's 1831-position model. The record is from RNAcentral.
AGGGCACCACCAGGAGUGGAGCCUGCGGCUUAAUUUGACUCAACACGGGAAAUCUCACCAGGCCCGGACACCGGAAGGAUUGACAGAUUGAGAGCUCUUUCUUGAUUCGGUGGGUGGUGGUGCAUGGCCGUUCUUAGUUGGUGGAGCGAUUUGUCUGGUUAAUUCCGAUAACGAACGAGACUCUGACCUACUAACUAGACGUUGGAUCCCUUUGUGGGUCCAUCGCAGCUUCUUAGAGGGACGGGCGGCGUUUAGCCGCACGAGAUUGAGCAAUAACAGGUCUGUGAUGCCCUUAGAUGUUCUGGGCUGCACGCGCGCUACACUGAAAGAAUCAGCGUGUGUUCCCUACCCGAAAGGGUUGGGAAACCCGUUGAACCUCUUUCGUGAUGGGGAUUGGGGAUUGCAAUUAUUCCCCAUGAACGAGGAAUUCCCAGUAGGCGCGAGUCAUAAGCUUGCGUCGAUUACGUCCCUGCCCUUUGUACACACCGCCCGUCGCUACUACCGAUCGAGUGAUUUAGU